Molecule: ribosomal RNA, 481 nt
Filed under: uncultured bacterium
Lineage: Bacteria
Description: partial 16S ribosomal RNA
Rfam family: Bacterial small subunit ribosomal RNA
Source: RNAcentral
GACGAACGCUGGCGGCGUGCUUAACACAUGCAAGUCGAACGAUGAAGGAGAGCUUGCUCUCCGGAUUAGUGGCGAACGGGUGAGUAACACGUGACUAACCUGCCCCUUUCUCUGGGAUAACGCUCCGAAAGGAGUGCUAAUACCGGAUACGAACUCUGAACACAUGUUCGGAGUUGGAAAGUUUUUCGGAAAGGGAUGGAGUCGCGGCCUAUCAGCUUGUUGGUGAGGUAAUGGCUACCCAAGGCGACGACGGGUAGCUGGCCUGAGAGUGCGACGGGCCAGACUGGGACUGAGACACGGCCCAGACUCCUACGGGAGGCAGCAGUGGGGAAUAUUGCACAAUGGGCGAAAGCCUGAUGCAGCGACGCCGCGUGAGGGAUGACGGUCUUCGGAUUGUAAACCUCUUUCAGUAGGGACGAAGCGAAAGUGACGGUACCUAAAGAAGAAGCACCGGCUAACUACGUGCCAGCCGCCGCCGUAA